This 2366-nucleotide long non-coding RNA is filed under the name Salvator merianae (Argentine black and white tegu). RNAcentral describes it as "lncRNA (ENSSMRG00000020221.1)". The record is from RNAcentral. Lineage: Eukaryota; Metazoa; Chordata; Lepidosauria; Squamata; Teiidae.
UGGCUCUUUCCUUUUCUUCUUGGGGGCAGGUAUUUCAUGGAUAUCUGAGCAGAACCACACUGACAAGACCUGUUGAUCCAGUUGGCACACAGAUGUCAGUCAAGGACAAGGACCUCUCAAGGGCCGCAAUGAUGCCCCUCCAGGUCUUCGUGAAGGAAUGCUGGGUGGAUAUACAAGACGUAAGGAAGCCAAAGGAAAUUUGGAAGGGAGCCAAAGGUGUUAAAAGAAGAACCUUUCUUCAUCUUAUCAGACUAGGCAGCAAACAGACACUCAGACCUACAACAUGGCUUGCCUGUCCAGUCCUUUUCAUGGUUCAGUGUGGCGGAGUGGGGGCAACAUCUUUUGCCACCAGUGAACAUCCAGAGGGCUACGUUGGAAUACCUGGUUUCCCCCCAGCAUAUCAAAAGAGAAUCCAGGAGGCUCCGUGAGGUGGAUGACUCCUCUUGCCUUCCUUCUUUCCAUUUAUAUAUCUUUAUUUGUGACCCCCUUCAACAUCCCGGCCUGGAAGAAAGUUUCUUGUUUCCAUGCACUGCGGUUUCCCUAAAAUGGCUGCCAGUGUGCAACUUAUUCCGUGGCACCUCCAAAAGAGAAGAUAAAGCGACAGCUGGGAUCAUCUGUUGGCACCCUGCCCAUAUUUCAGAGGAGGCAGAUGAGUGUUUAGGAGUCUUCCUAGAGGAAGCAUCCACCCCUCAGCUGCUUCUGGUUCCUAGUCACUCUGGGACUAACUGAGCUUUUCCAAUCUUCAGGCAGCUCUUUUCAAAUAUUUUGGGAAGAAGCUGCAGGAGGUGCAGGAUCAGGAGGUGGUUCUUGAGUUCGCGCACUCCCUGUUGUCCAUCCACAACAAAGACAACAGAGAGGUGAGAUACCACCCUGUGUUUUCCCCAAGGCCUGGGCAAGCCAUCACUUUCUUAGGCAGUCUUCAUCAACCUGGGGACUUCCAGCCCUUGGGAGAUAUAUGUCUUAUGAGCUCCAGAGGGCUCAGCUGUCUGGGUCUGCCAGAAGUUGUACUCCCACUGGGAUGGAGAAGGCUGCUCUCUUGUCAUUUCUUCUGCUUUUACCCUAAGGUUUCUGGGUCAAUGGGUUUGAUGAAUUAGCCGUUCCCACUUGCCCCUUUCAUGAUACCUUGUUGACGUCCUGGGCAGCAGCCACUUGGAUUGCUUCUCCCCUCACCAUCUCUUUGGCCUUGCCAAGUCACAGCCCUCUAUCCUUUCUCAUCAGUUAAUGAGCAGAAUCACCCAGGACACUCAGAAAGUAGGAGACUCCUCCAAAAGUCUGCCCUGAGGCUCUAGAGGAGUCCCUGGAACUGUGUCCCUGNUUCCAAACCACCAGGCCACCAGCCCAAAGGCCCAUGGGAACAAGGGAGAGGGAUUAUGAAGCUCAGGGAACAAUGCAGUGGAAUUCCUCUAUCGGGGAAUACUCCAUGGAAGCAGAAAUUUCCAAUCCUUUCUCAGAUCAGUAGAGGCUUUGAAACAAAAGGACUCCUACUUCACUGAUGUGCUUCCAUUUCUUCAGGCAGUUGCUGAAGCCCUCAGUCUAACAUUGCAAUGGUGCUAAGGAAUUAUGUUUGCACCAUGACCGGCAGCAAACUUGUUGAGUGGAACGGCACUCCUCAGGUAAGGGUGCAACAGAGAGAAACGAGAUCCAGGUGUUCUCCUUGGCUGUCCAGAAAUUCCCCAUCUGAACCCAGAUUAGAAGAGAAAGAGUGACCCCUUGCCUGGGAUCUAGGUAAUCCCUCUCCCAGAAAGGAUUUGAUCCCAGGGUACCCUGAAGAUCAGGGGAUCCCGUCAGAAGAGCAUUGAGGGAGGUUUGGUGNUGUUACNNANUCUNUUUUGGGUGGACAAAACNUAUAAGNCUGGAGAGGUNUGAAAUCCUGGANGCCUCUUUUGGUUUCUGAAGAUCCAGAUUACAAAAGCCAGGAGCAGAUUCCUCAGAGAUCCCAUCAGGAAUGAAAAGUCAGCUGGAGUGACUGGAGAAAGGUUGCAACACCAAAGGAGACCCAUUGGCAUCAGCCAANGAAGAAAGGUGAUGCAGGGAAUUCCCUGGAUAAGGGCAGCUUGAUCUGGGCAAGAUUUAAUUCGUGGCAUAGCCUUACUAUUGAUAUCUUCUCCUGCAGAGAUUCUCUCUUGGAUUAGCACCGCANUGUGUCCAGCAACAGGCUUAUUACCAUAGGAAACAGAAGGUCAACACNCAUUCCAGAUUGACCUGGAAGAUUCCUGGAGCUCUUAAGGUUUCAAUAUAGUUNUGUUUUGUUUUAAAAAAAAUGUUUCCCUCCACAAGAUUAAAAAAACCCAAGCAGAACUUGGGCUUCCUACUGACAAUAAGAGGCAAAGCAGGAUAUAAAUAAAUCCUNGGAUUGCCUUUUGCCA